Molecule: long non-coding RNA, 312 nt
Organism: Fukomys damarensis (Damara mole-rat)
Lineage: Eukaryota; Metazoa; Chordata; Mammalia; Rodentia; Bathyergidae
Exons: 3
Source: RefSeq, a predicted model, not a curated record
GAAUUUAUGACAAUUUUGUCAUAAGUAGAGUGUGUCUUUAUUCUAUCUUUUGCAAGAUACACAUGUUUGAUAAAUACAUUAUCUCAACAGGUUUUAGAAGCAUUUAGAAAGAAAUCCAUGAAAUGAUUGAUGCACUAAUAACAUGAUUCACAACUACUUUAAAGAUAUCUGGGCCCCUAAAUGACCACUUGUGUCACUACUGUGUUUUAUAAAUUUAAACUGUCAUGAGCUAUGUGAAUAAUUUUCAAGGAACUGCUUCUAAAAUACUGUGGACCCUCAAGUGACAACCGGCCUGACAUCUGCACAACCUGG